Molecule: ribosomal RNA, 465 nt
Filed under: uncultured bacterium
Lineage: Bacteria
Description: partial 16S ribosomal RNA
Rfam family: Bacterial small subunit ribosomal RNA
Source: RNAcentral
CCUACGGGAGGCAGCAGUGGGGAAUAUUGCGCAAUGGGCGAAAGCCUGACGCAGCGACGCCGCGUGAGGGAUGAAGGUCUUCGGAUCGUAAACCUCUGUCAGCAGGGAAGAACGGUCACUGUGCUAAUCAGCAGUGAAUUGACGGUACCUGCAAAGGAAGCACCGGCUAACUCCGUGCCAGCAGCCGCGGUAAUACGGAGGGUGUGAGCGUUAAUCGGAAUUACUGGGCGUAAAGCGCUCGUAGGCGGUAUGUCAAGUCAAGGGGGAAAUCCCCGCGCUCAACGUGGGAACUGCCUUUGAAACUGGCAAACUGGAGUGUGUGAGAGGAUAGUGGAAUGCCAGGUGUAGGGGUGAAAUCCGUAGAUAUCUGGAGGAACAUCAGUGGCGAAGGCGACUAUCUGGCACAUAACUGACGCUGAGGAGCGAAAGCGUGGGUAGCAAACAGGAUUAGAUACCCCAGUAGUC